UAACGUAAUAAGUGAACGCGGUCUAGUUAGUUCUGUCCCAUAGGUUUUUUGCUUUACUUUUUUUAAUUCAAAU
This 73-nucleotide transfer RNA is filed under the name Melampyrum roseum var. japonicum. Its description in RNAcentral is "tRNA-Phe". Lineage: Eukaryota; Viridiplantae; Streptophyta; Magnoliopsida; Lamiales; Orobanchaceae. The record is from RNAcentral.